UUUCUGUGAUGACUUGCCAUGCUAAUAUCGAGAGAACGUUUGGGUCUCGAUGAGUUGAACUUCAAAUAUACUGAAUGUUUCAUACAUGA
Small nucleolar RNA from Osmia bicornis bicornis, 89 nucleotides. Lineage: Eukaryota; Metazoa; Arthropoda; Insecta; Hymenoptera; Megachilidae. The record is from RefSeq and is a predicted model, not a curated record.